This 285-nucleotide non-coding RNA is filed under the name Clostridium oryzae. RNAcentral's name for it is "T-box sequence". It matches the Rfam family "T-box leader". From Rfam's summary of the family: Uncharged tRNA acts as the effector for transcription antitermination of genes in the T-box leader family. The record is from RNAcentral. Lineage: Bacteria; Bacillati; Bacillota; Clostridia; Eubacteriales; Clostridiaceae.
CUUAAUGCGAAGAUAAGAAAUAGUAAAUGUGUGAAGUUUUUUUAGAGAGUCUCUGUUUGGUGGAAAGAGGUAAAACAGUACAUUGAACACAUCUUUGAGCAAGACAUCGAAAUCAAUAUAUAGCAAGUGGAUAGGUUUGUUAACAAAUGCUAUGAGAGUAGAAUGUUCCCGGUUAUUUGCACCCGUUAUAGUGCUAGAGUAUUAUAUUGUACUUGAAGAGGUUAGUAUUGUGAGGUACUGACGAAUUGAGGUGGGAACACGUGAGUUAUAACUCUCGUCCUUUGG